RNAcentral lists this ribosomal RNA (1361 nucleotides) under Ophioceres incipiens. Its description in RNAcentral is "16S ribosomal RNA". The stretch from base 676 to 1361 matches the Rfam family "Archaeal large subunit ribosomal RNA", at positions 1423 to 2891 of the family's 2987-position model. The record is from RNAcentral. Lineage: Eukaryota; Metazoa; Echinodermata; Ophiuroidea; Amphilepidida; Ophiolepididae.
UUAAAUAUUAGAAUUUUUAUGAUAAUAAUGGAAGAUAAAAUAUUUUUAUUUCAGUUAAGAAUAGAGUAAAGUUUAUUAAAAUACUAUGUUAUACCUAAGUUGUACCGCAAGGGAAAUUUGAAAAGAUGGUUGGUGUCUUAAUAACUAAGAAGAAGCUGAUUUGGUGUACCUUUUGUAUUAUGGCUAGCUAAAUUUAUUGAGGGAAAGACUUAAUUAACGAAAUAAGGUGAGCUAUUUUUUUCCACUUGUAGGAAGAAUCUCCGGUUGUAGAAAAACUUGUGGGGUGAGGAAAAAAUAGAGGUGAAAGGCCUACCGAACCUUGUGUUAGCUUUUUUUUAGGGAAGGGAGUAUAAGUUCGGAAUUUUUUUUGUUUUUAGAAGAUUUCGGCUAAUCGAGAUUUUUUUAGAGGGUUAAACCUUUUAAUCUAAGAAAGAUCAGUGAGAAUUUAGGUUUCCUUUUAAAUAGGUUAUAGCAACUUUUUUUGGGAGUGCGUUUAAGCUCGUUAGGAGCUUUUUGUUUAAUUUUUGUAGGUGAAGUCGUUCUUGUGUGAAGUACCUAAAUGUUCUUUGAAUAGAGUUAAUUAUGGUUAGAUGAGUAAGUUUUGUUCGGCUAAAAGAAUAAGAAGGAAACUUUUAUUUUGAUUUGUUUUCUUAUCUGUUUUUUUAUUUUAAAGAAUAGAGUGUAUAUAUAUAGUAAAGAGGAACUCGGCAAAUAUUUUCUGCGCCUGUUUACCUAAAACAUCGCCUUCGGAGUAAGCUCGAAAGGUCCGACCUGCCCGGUGAUUCUUAGAGUUAAACGGCUGCAGUACUCUGACUGUGCAAAGGUAGCAUAAUCAUUAGCCUAUUAAUUGUAGGCUGGCAUCAACGGUUAGACGACAGAAAAACUGUCUUUUUACUAUCUUCCGAAAUUUAUUUUUAGGUGAAGAAGCCUAAAUUAUUUAAUGGGACGAGAAGACCCUAUUGAGCUUUAAAUAUCUUGUAAAUUUGGUUAUAAGUUUAUUUUGAGUUGGGGCAACUAUUCUUUAUCUUUAACAAGAAUAUAAUCUCUGAAUUGAUUCUUUAUAGACCCAAAAUAUUUUGGAGUUAGAAAAAGUUACCUUAGGGAUAACAGCGUUAUUUUUCUUGAGAGCACUUAUUGACAGAGAAGUUUGCGACCUCGAUGUUGGAUUAAGGUUUCCUGGGGGUGCAGCAGCUUCCAAGGGUUGGUUUGUUCAACCAUUAAUAUCUUACGUGAUCUGAGUUCAGUCCGUCGUGAGACAGGACAGUUUCUAUCUAUUAUUAUCUUCUUUUUGUACGAAAGGACUUUUGAAGAAAGAGCUAGGACUAUAGUUCCCUCUUGGAAACAACUAGAAUUAGAUGAGC